RNAcentral lists this ribosomal RNA (429 nucleotides) under Verrucomicrobiota bacterium. RNAcentral describes it as "Verrucomicrobia bacterium partial 16S ribosomal RNA". It matches the Rfam family "Bacterial small subunit ribosomal RNA", at positions 355 to 776 of the family's 1533-position model. The record is from RNAcentral. Lineage: Bacteria; Pseudomonadati; Verrucomicrobiota.
UAGGGAAUCUUCCGCAAUGGACGAAAGUCUGACGGAGCAACGCCGCGUGAGUGAAGAAGGAUUUUGGUUCGUAAAACUCUGUUGUUAGGGGAGAAAAAAUGUAUAGUAACUAUAUACAAAAGAGACGGUACCUAACCAGAAAGCCACGGCUAACUACGUGCCAGCAGCCGCGGUAAUACGUAGGUGGCAAGCGUUGUCCGGAAUUAUUGGGCGUAAAGCGCGCGCAGGUGGUUUAGAAAGUCUGAUGUGAAAGCCCACGGCUCAACCGUGGAGGGUCAUUGGAAACUAAUAAACUUGAGUGCAGGAGAGAAAGGGGGAAUUCCUAGUGUAGCGGUGAAAUGCGUAGAGAUUAGGGGGAACACAGGUGGCGAAAGCGGCUUUUUGGCCUGCAACUGACACUGAGGCGCGAAAGCGUGGGGGGCAAACAGG